RNAcentral lists this transfer RNA (63 nucleotides) under Kaestneriella sp. KaspPE. RNAcentral's name for it is "tRNA-Ala". It matches the Rfam family "tRNA". From Rfam's summary of the family: Transfer RNA (tRNA) molecules are approximately 80 nucleotides in length. Their secondary structure includes four short double-helical elements and three loops (D, anti-codon, and T loops). Lineage: Eukaryota; Metazoa; Arthropoda; Insecta; Psocodea; Peripsocidae. The record is from RNAcentral.
AAGAUUAUAGUUAAUUAUAACAUUUGAUUUGCACUCAAAAAGUAUUGGUACCAAUUUUUCUUA